AUGUGGCGGUUUGCCGUUUUUCUUGCGGCAUUUUUUGUUCAGGAUGUUGUGGGAAGCCAUGGCGACCCAGAGCUUCAUAUGACUACCCCCCAAAUCAUCGAGCGAUGGGGGUAUCCGGCGAUGAUCUACACAGUUGCCACGGAUGAUGGGUACAUUUUGGAAAUGCACAGAAUUCCAUUUGGGAAAACAAACGUAACAUGGCCAAAUGGCAAGAGACCUGUCGUCUUCAUGCAACACGGCCUGCUGUGCGCCUCUAGCGACUGGGUCGUGAACCUUCCCGAUCAGAGUGCUGGUUUCCUGUUCGCAGAUGCCGGAUUCGACGUGUGGCUCGGCAACAUGCGUGGUAACACCUACAGCAUGAAGCACAAGGAUCUAAAACCUUCGCACUCGGCGUUCUGGGACUGGAGUUGGGAUGAGAUGGCUACCUAUGAUCUGAAUGCUAUGAUCAAUCAUGUGUUGGAGGUCACUGGACAGGAUAGUGUAUACUAUAUGGGUCAUUCACAAGGAACUCUAACGAUGUUUAGUCAUUUGUCGAAGGAUGAUGGAAGUUUCGCGAAGAAGAUCAAGAAGUUCUUCGCGCUGGCACCAAUUGGGUCUGUGAAGCAUAUCAAGGGAUUUUUGUCAUUCUUCGCUAACUAUUUCUCGUUGGAGUUUGAUGGAUGGUUCGAUAUCUUCGGAGCCGGCGAAUUCCUCCCAAACAACUGGGCCAUGAAGCUAGCCGCCAAGGACAUUUGCGGAGGGCUCAAAGUUGAAGCCGACCUCUGCGACAACGUCCUAUUCCUCAUCGCCGGCCCGGAAAGUGACCAAUGGAACCAGACACGUGUUCCAGUCUACGCUACUCAUGAUCCAGCGGGGACUUCGACUCAGAACAUUGUCCACUGGAUGCAGAUGGUGCAUCAUGGAGGCGUUCCGGCGUACGACUGGGGAACCAAGACGAACAAGAAGAAAUAUGGACAGAGUACGACUUUACCGCUAUCAAGGGAACCAAGAUUUACCUCUACUGGAGUGAUGCCGAUUGGUUGGCUGAUACGCCUGACGUGCCUGACUACCUACUGACUAGAUUGAACCCGGCAAUUGUCGCUCAAAACAAUCAUCUUCCCGACUACAAUCAUUUGGACUUCACAUGGGGACUACGCGCUCCUGAUGAUAUUUAUCGUCCGGCUAUCAAGCUGUGCACUGACGAUUAUUUGGGAAAAUAA
Molecule: unclassified non-coding RNA, 1199 nt
Filed under: Caenorhabditis elegans
Lineage: Eukaryota; Metazoa; Nematoda; Chromadorea; Rhabditida; Rhabditidae
Description: Non-coding transcript of protein-coding gene lipl-5
Source: RNAcentral